GAUGAAGAACGCAGCGAAAUGCGAUAAGUAAUGUGAAUUGCAGAAUUCAGUGAAUCAUCGAAUCUUUGAACGCACAUUGCGCCCGCUGGUAUUCCGGCGGGCAUGCCUGUACGAGCGUCAUUUCAACCCUCAAGCUCUCCGGAGUUUGGUGUUGGGGCGCCUGGGGCUUUUCGACCUCAGGGCCCUCAAGUCCAUCGGCGGGACCGCCAGGACACUGAGCGCAGUAGUAUUAUUUCGCUCGGUAGGAUCUUCCACGGCGGGUCGAUCUGGCCGCUAAACCCCCCAAUUCUCACCAAAGGUUGACCUCGGAUCAGGUAGGAAUACCCGCUGAACUUAAGCAUAUCAAUAAGCGGAGGA
RNAcentral lists this unclassified non-coding RNA (357 nucleotides) under soil metagenome. Its description in RNAcentral is "partial contains 5.8S ribosomal RNA, internal transcribed spacer 2, and large subunit ribosomal RNA". The stretch from base 1 to 120 matches the Rfam family "5.8S ribosomal RNA", at positions 35 to 154 of the family's 154-position model. The record is from RNAcentral.